UAAAAAUUGCAGUUGAUACUGGAUAUCUUGAGUGCAGUUGAGGCAGGCGGAAUUCGUGGUGUAGCGGUGAAAUGCUUAGAUAUCACGAAGAACUCCGAUUGCGAAGGCAGCCUGCUAAGCUGCAACUGACAUUGAGGCUCGAAAGUGUGGGUAUCAAACAGGAUUAGAUACCCUGGUAGUCCACACGGUAAACGAUGAAUACUCGCUGUUUGCGAUAUACAGCAAGCGGCCAAGCGAAAGCGUUAAGUAUUCCACCUGGGGAGUACGCCGGCAACGGUGAAACUCAAAGGAAUUGACGGGGGCCCGCACAAGCGGAGGAACAUGUGGUUUAAUUCGAUGAUACGCGAGGAACCUUACCCGGGCUUAAAUUGCAGAUGAAUUACGGUGAAAGCCGUAAGCCGCAAGGCAUCUGUGAAGGUGCUGCAUGGUUGUCGUCAGCUCGUGCCGUGAGGUGUCGGCUUAAGUGCCAUAACGAGCGCAACCCUUGUUGUCAGUUACUAACAGGUUUUGAUGAGGACUCUGACAAGACUGCCAUCGUAAGAUGUGAGGAAGGUGGGGAUGACGUCAAAUCAGCACGGCCCUUACGUCCGGGGCUACACACGUGUUACAAUGGGGGGUACAGAGGGCCGAUACCACGAGAGUGGAUGCCAAUCCCCAAAACCUCUCUCAGUUCGGACUGGAGUGUGCAACCCGACUCCACGAAGCUGGAUUUGUUAGUAAUCGAGCAUCAGCCACGGCGCGGUGAAUACGUUCCCGGGCCUUGUACACACCGCCCGUCAAGCCAUGGGAGCCGGGGGUACUUGAAGCGCGUAACCGCGAGGAGCGCCCUAGG
This 832-nucleotide ribosomal RNA is filed under the name uncultured organism. RNAcentral describes it as "SSU rRNA". It matches the Rfam family "Bacterial small subunit ribosomal RNA", at positions 615 to 1461 of the family's 1533-position model. The record is from RNAcentral.